GUUUUGCUCCAAGGACCAAUCUAGGAGUGUGAUGAAUCAUAAUAAUCGAACGAAUCGCCUGUUGUGCGAUAAAUCAUUCAAGUUUCUGCCCUAUCAGCUUUGGAUGGUAGUGUAUUGGACUACCAUGGCAGUCACGGGUAACGGAGAAUUAGGGUUCGAUUCCGGAGAGGGAGCCUGAGAAACGGCUACCACAUCUACGGAAGGCAGCAGGAGCGAAAAUUGCCCAAUCCCGACACGGGGAGGCAGUGACGAGAAAUAACAACUCUUGGUUAUUCUAAGAAGUGUAAUGAGGAUAAUUUAAAACCCUUACCGAAAGCAAUUGGAGGGCAAGUCUGGUGCCAGCAGCCGCGGUAAUUCCAGCUCCAAUAGCGUAUAUUAAAGUUGUUGCAGUUAGAAAGCUCGUAGUUGAAGUUCUGGCUGAUUGACCCUCGAGCUUCGUAGCCGAGGGCUCGUCAGUCAUCCGCUUGCAAAUAUAUGUUCGCCUUUAACCGGGCGGCUAUAUGAGUAAGCAAUUUACCUUGAGAAAAACAGAGUGUUCCAGGCAGGUUUGUCCGGAAUGCAUUAGCAUGGAAUAAUAGAAUAUGACUGAAGUCGAUUUAUUGGUUUUGAGGCUUUAGUAAUGAUUAAUAGGAACAGUCGGGGGCAUUGGUACUUGACAGUCAGAGGUGAAAUUCUAGGAUUUGUCAAAGACUAACAAAUGCGAAAGCAUUUGCCAAGGAUGUUUUCAUUAAUCAAGAACGAAAGUUAGGGGAUCAAAGACGAUCAGAUACCGUCCUAGUCUUAACUAUAAACUAUACCGACUCGGAUUCAGAUGAAUCAUAAAGUUCAUUUGGGACCGUAGGAGAAAUCAAAGUUUUUGGGUUCUGGGGGAAGUAUGGUCGCAAGGCUGAAACUUAAAGGAAUUGACGGUUUUGCACCACCAUGGAGUGGAGUCUGCGGCUUAAUUUGACCCAACACUGGGAAACUCAUCAGGGCAAGAAGAUUGUAGGAUUGACAGAUUGAGAGUUCUUUCUUGAUUGGUCUAGUGGUGGUGCAUGGCCGUUCUUAGUUGGUGGAGUGAUUUGUCUGGUUAAUUCCGUUAACGAACGAGACCUUAACCUGCUAACUAGUACACCGAUGACAAAUCGGCGAUACUUCUUAGAGGGACUAUGUGAUGUAAUCACAUGGAAGUUCGAGGCAAUAACAGGUCUGUGAUGCCCUUAGAUGUCCUGAGCUGCACGCGUACUACAAUGGUGCUUUCAACGAGCUUUUCCUGAUCCGAAAGGAUUUGGGUAAUCUUUUUAGUGAGCACCGUGCUUGGGAUUGAUCUUUGUAAUUAUGGAUCAUGAACUAGGAAUUCCUAGUAAGCACGUGUCAUCAGCA
RNAcentral lists this ribosomal RNA (1362 nucleotides) under metagenome. RNAcentral describes it as "SSU rRNA". It matches the Rfam family "Eukaryotic small subunit ribosomal RNA", at positions 214 to 1636 of the family's 1831-position model. The record is from RNAcentral.